This 141-nucleotide small nuclear RNA is filed under the name Cebus imitator (Panamanian white-faced capuchin). RNAcentral's name for it is "U4 spliceosomal RNA (ENSCCAG00000001800.1)". It matches the Rfam family "U4 spliceosomal RNA". From Rfam's summary of the family: U4 small nuclear RNA (U4 snRNA) is a component of the major U2-dependent spliceosome. The structure of U4 snRNA from yeast and human has been reported. The record is from Rfam by way of RNAcentral. Lineage: Eukaryota; Metazoa; Chordata; Mammalia; Primates; Cebidae.
AGCUUUGUGCAUUGGCAGUGUCGUAGCCAAUGAGGUUUAUCCGAGGUGCGAUUAUUGAUAAUUGAAAACUUUUGCCAAUACCCCGCCAUAACGACUUGAAAUAUGGUCGGCGCUGGCAAUUUUUGAUGGUCUCUACGGAGA